RNAcentral lists this ribosomal RNA (400 nucleotides) under uncultured bacterium. Its description in RNAcentral is "bacterial SSU rRNA". It matches the Rfam family "Bacterial small subunit ribosomal RNA", at positions 30 to 431 of the family's 1533-position model. The record is from RNAcentral.
AUUGAACGCUGGCGGCAUGCCUUACACAUGCAAGUCGAACGGCAGCACGGGAGCAAUCCUGGUGGCGAGUGGCGAACGGGUGAGUAAUAUAUCGGAACGUGCCCAGUCGUGGGGAUAACGUAGCGAAAGCUACGCUAAUACCGCAUACGAUCUAUGGAUGAAAGCGGGGGAUCGCAAGACCUCGCGCGAUUGGAGCGGCCGAUAUCAGAUUAGGUAGUUGGUGAGGUAAAGGCUCGCCAAGCCGACGAUCUGUAGCUGGUCUGAGAGGACGACCAGCCACACUGGGACUGAGACACGGCCCAGACUCCUACGGGAGGCAGCAGUGGGGAAUUUUGGACAAUGGGCGCAAGCCUGAUCCAGCAAUGCCGCGUGCAGGAUGAAGGCCUUCGGGUUGUAACGU